This is a small nuclear RNA of Acomys russatus (golden spiny mouse), 104 nucleotides long. The record is from RefSeq and is a predicted model, not a curated record. NCBI's taxonomy places the organism in Eukaryota, Metazoa, Chordata, Mammalia, Rodentia, Muridae.
GUGCUCACUUUGGCAGCACACAUAAUAAAAAUGGAACAAUACAAAGAUUAACAUGGCCACUGUGCAAGGGUGGCACAUGAAUUUAUGGAGAGUUCAUAUUUAAA